RNAcentral lists this long non-coding RNA (26473 nucleotides) under Citrus maxima (pomelo). RNAcentral's name for it is "long non-coding RNA (CMAX_LNC003548)". Lineage: Eukaryota; Viridiplantae; Streptophyta; Magnoliopsida; Sapindales; Rutaceae. The record is from RNAcentral.
AUCUUCAUUGGUAGCAUUUUUAUGCAUGCCUGCAGCCUCUUAUAUAACUGGUCAGACAAUUUCCGCUGACGGAGGAUUUACAGUGAAUGGAUUCUUCUUCCCAAGUACCUGAUUUAUUUUGUCCACUUCUCUGAAAUCUUCGAAUCUGAUAACUUAGUGUUGUGAUUUCUCAGGCCCUAAUAAACCGCCAGCAUGUAUCUCUUUUGAUUUUUGACUCAUCUUUUCGAUUGUCGUUUAUUGCCCUUUUAUCAAGUGUUGUCGCUUUAUUCCAUUAAAGUCGCGAAUUGAAUUCGUACUGAAUCUUAAAUAAAUCGGUUCCAAAUAUUCUAAUAUCCUUUAAUUCAUUCCCUUUAAUUCGUUACUGUAUAAAACUAAAUUAAUUAUUAAAGGAUUGAGUGGAUUCAUUUAAAUUCGUUUACAAUCUAAUCAAGUAGGUUAUUAGGUAAUUUAUUUUAAUGAUAGCAAUGGAUUGGAUCUAACCCAAGAUCCAUGUGAUCCAAAUCCAAUCGAAUAAGAUUUGGAUUGGAUUUGGAUAUCAAUGUACAGAUCUAAGACGGAUCUGAAGCAGGUCUAGAUACGUCUUAAUAUUUAAAUCCAUAUCCAUAUCCACCCAUUUUUUUAUUUUAUUUUAUUUUAAAAAUUUCUUAACAAUUGUGUAGUUAUAAAUGACAAUAAAUUUUAUUUAUAACAUGUUAGUGGUAUUUAUCAUGUAUUUAAAAAUCUUAAAACUUAAAGGUUAUUUUUAUAAAUUUAAAAGGUUGGCCAGCCCCAAAGUAUGUACUUGCAAUAUUCAAAUUGCAAGCCAAGCACUAACUUCUGGCGAUGUAUUUUAUUAUAUUGGCCAAAUAUUUUUUAAGGAAUAUAGUUAUUCAUAUAUUUGUCAAAUAUGGUUAUAAUAAAAAUAAUAAAGUACUGAAUAUAAAUCAUAUUUAAUUUAUAUGUCAUUAUCUAAUUUUGUAGGAAUGAUGGUGGGUGUGCCGCAGAUAUUAGAAUGAUGAACGAGAUAGUAGAAUAUUAGAUUGAUCUUAAUCCUGUAAUUACUUUUAAAUAAUGUUUUAUUAUCUUUCUUAUUUACUUGUUUUGGUGUAAAAGUAUAAGCUACAAUAUACAUUAUAUUUUUUAGAUAAAUUAUAUAAUUUAAUUGUUACUAAUACAUUUUAGUCUUUAUUUUUUACUCUAAAAAAUUAUUGCUCUUUUAUUGUUGAGUUUUAGAAUUCAUGACGAAUUUAGAGCAGAUUUGAAUUUGAAUUUGAAUUUUUUUUUUCAGGUUUGGAGCAUAUAUAUAUAUAUAUAUAUAUCUUUUUUGGAUCUGGAUAUGGAGCGAAAAACAUGGAUUCAUGACGGUUCUGGAGCAGAUACGAAUCUUGAUUUUUAUUAUAGAUAUGGAUCUAGAUCUCGAUGAUAGUAUAUCCAACUCAUAUCUGUCACAUUGUCAUCCCUAACCCAUUUAUUUUUCAUGUCGGGUUGGGGUCUCAAUAUGUUGACAUGAUUCUUAAAUGGAUCGUGUUUGGGUCGACCUAAAUUUGACACGACACAAACACGACAUGAUGACUCGUUUUGCCAACUGUAGUACUAAUAUAAUAAUAGUUAUAUAUAUAUAUAUAUAUAUAUAUAUAUAUAUAGGUUUACUCCCUUCUCCCAUCCAUUUGUCUUUAUUUUUUGAAUGAUAAAUAAAUUAAAGUUUAUAAUAAUUUGGAAAAAAAUUAAAAAAAUUAAUUUAUUAGAGAUAAACUAAAAUUAACCCUUUUAAAAUAGAUUGGGUGGUAGGUUACAGUGCACAUGUUUGGUCAGGAUGAAUCGAAGUGGAGGGCAAACCCAAAUUGAUUAGGCUUAAUGUAUGUAGGUAAUCGGAAUCGUGAUUGAACUGUUGAAUCCAAGGCUAAUCUAAUAUAGUCUUAGACAUUGCCACAUUGGACUGUUCACACAUGGAAGGUUUGGAUUUGGAUUAAACAAUGUCAUGUGUAACGAAUGAGUAUGAACCGGAGACUUUCUCCAGCUGGACACGUACCGUGAUGCAUACACAUGCACUUGUCGGAGCCAUGCAAACGUGUUUAGAAAAUGUUUUCAUCGUGAUUUUAACUUGAUUUAGCUCUAUCCUCCAGCCAGCGGCCGACCGAUUAAAGAUUUUCUCCUUAUUUAUUUAUGUUUUUGAGUUUUUAAAAAUUCUGAGUCGUAUUAAUGUACCAAUAGAAUUUUUUUUUCUUUAUUUAUUAACCAAAAAAUUUAAAUCGGUAACUGAUAGCCUAGAUUAUAUAUAUAUAUAUCAUAAUAAAAAAUGGCUGGGGCUGGGGCUGGGGCUGGGACUGGGUGGGAACAGAGAAGAUGGAGUCUUCAAGGAACGUAUGCUCGUGUCACAGGUGAUGUCAAAGGACUCGGGUACUUCUUCUCAGUAGUUCUUCUCUCUCUCUCUUUCUUUGUGUGUGUGUGUCUCUCUCUCUCUAUACAUAUAUAUGUCCAAAGGACUCGGGCACUUGGCAGAGCUAUGGCUGCCACAUUCCGUACAUGCUAGCUCUACGAAUGAAACAGAGCUUAACAAAUGCAUGUGCAAAUGGGAAACACACACACACACACACACACACACAUAUACAUGUUUUAAUUCCUUUGAUUUAAUUACGUUCAAUAUAAUUAAUCAUUAAUAUUUUAUAUUAAUUGCUACCUGCAGGCAUGCUGUAGUGGAGGAAUUGGCAGCGCUAGGCGCCAGUCUGCGACAUCUCAUCUUGAGCAGAACGGGAGAAGCUAAUCAACAAAGUCUCUUCUAUGUUCAAUGGGAAGCUUAACAUUCUCGUAUGUUUCAAAAUCUGUAUAUAGCCGUUAAUUGAGUUAAAAUCCCUGAGAUUAAUUAAUUUUCGAUAUUAUAUUAUUCAAAUUCGUAUGUACAUAUAUAGAUAUUAAUUAUUUGAUUUACAUACUGAACUGUGCGCUAUAUAGCUAAAUAACGUGGAAGCAAGUGUUGCAAAGCCAACAUUAGAGUACAAUGCUGAAGAUUUUUCAUUAGUAAUGACAACCAAUUUCGAGUCUGCUUUCCACUUGUGUCAGCUUGCACAUCCUCUUCUAAAAGCUUCUGGUGCAGCUAGUAUUAUACUCGUGUCUUCGGGGCUAGGCGUGGUCUUAGCAAAUGUUGGAACUGUAUAUUCAGCUACUAAAGGUAAGUUACAUAUAAAUAACAGUUGAAAUCAAGCAUAUCUCUGUUUGUACAUUUUAAUGGAAAGUACUGAUGAUGAAUUGCCUGAUUAUUAUAUUCAUUUGCAGGAGCCGUGAAACAGCUUGGAAAAAAUCUGGCAUGUGAGUGGCAGGGGAUAAUAUCGGGACUAAUGCUGUGGCUUCUUGGGUUAUCAGAAUUCCCAUCGUUGAACCUGUAACAACUACAUAUUGUUUGAUUACAUUAUAUUAUGUUCAAACCUGUUUUAAAUACGAUUUUUGAAUUAGGCUUAUUCCGCCAGUUUUGUCCAUUUCCGACUCUAAAAGUCUCAAUUCAGGCUUCCCAUUAGGGCAUGGUUUUAAUAUUAUUGUCAAUUCUUAAUAAGAAACUAGAUUGUUUACUAUAAUGUUUUGGCCCCUUAUUGCUUGCAGUAUCUGGGAAACAGGGAAUUUUUGGACGAAGUCUAAGUCUCGAACCCCAAUUGGACGCCCCAGGGAGACAAAGGAGGUUUCUUCUUUGAUAGCGUUUCCGUGCAUGCCAGCAGCCUCUUACAUAACCGGUCAGACUAUUUGUGUUCGCGGAGGAUUUACAGUGAAUGGCUUUUUCCUCCCAAGCACCUGAUCGCGAUCACUUACAAGAAGCUAGCUCAAGUUGUUAUAGAACGAUGAAGUCCCCUUUGCGGUGGUAAAAUUUUAUCUCUAGCUAAGUGCUCUCUAGUUCAAUAAAAUCUUGACUAGUUUAGCCACGAUAAUAUAAAUUCAUUGCUUCUUUUUGCAUUUGGUUAUUCAAUUCUAUUUUACAGGUUUCAUUUUUUAUUAGCUCCUAUAUUUAAGAGGUUGUUCCCAGUUUUUGUAAUUACCCUAUACAAAAUUAAUGGAAUUCCCAAUCACAUGCGAAAUGAAUCCAAGCAUUAAGUGAUUACAAAAUUUUUUGACAGAUUCGAUGAUGAAGUUAAAUCAGUAAUCACACUGAUAUAAGUAAAAUAAAGCAAAAUCGUAGUUACUCACUAGAAAUUUCUCAUAAGGGGAGGUUCUUUGGAGUUCGAGACGUCACUGCUUCUGAGAAUUUCUCAUCAGCGAAAUACUGGAAAUUAACAAGAAAAAACUAAGAUUAAUAACAUAGUAUUCUCAUCUCACAUAAGACUUUCCCAGAUAAAUUAAAGAUCAUUUCUUAUUAAUACACUAAAUACAAAAACCUGGUUGAAUUAUUCUUACUGCUUCAUUUAGGGAAGUUUUGACAAACCAAUGGGCGACUGAAUUAGCUCUAAUGCUGUCUCCAGCCCAUUCACAUGUAAGCUUCUUUGGAAGUUGGUUCAUGGCUCCUGCAAACAAAAUACACAAACCUGUAUAUGUCUCUACAAUCUCUUAAAUCCGUUUCUGUGGUAUGUUAUUAAGUUAAUUAAUAUAUAUAUAAUUACCUUUAUUAACUGCAUACAGAGGUGCUCCACUUAUUGAUAUUGUUGGGAAAUUGAGCUUCCUCCCAAGAUCAAUCUAAGUAAUUUAUCAAACAACAAAUUAACAGAAAAAAUUAAAUAGAAAAUAAUAUCAAUCCUACAACAUAAGAUUUACGUGGAAAACUUCAAAUCCGAAAAAAAACCACAACCGUUAUCAAAAAGACAACUAGAGAAAAAUAUUUACUAUGUGAAAAAUUAUUACAAUUACACUCUUAGAAAUAAUUUCUCUCACCCAAACCCCAGAUACACCCAAAAUACUAAAACUUCCUAAUACUCACUUAAUGCUUAACUUGCAUUAGAUUUCACAGCUCUAUAGAAUUUUGAAUGCUUCUCUCUAGGAUGAUUAAAAUGAAGGAAGAAAAAAAGGUAUACAAAUAUUUUUUUAAUGAUUUGUCACAUCCUACAUAUACUUUACAAUUUCGAGUCAAUUAAUUAGAAUAUUUUUGAAUUCAUACAUUUAUAUCACAGUCUAUGAUCUAUAGAAAAUAGCUCCAUAACCAUCUAUUUUUCUUUUGUUGAAUAUAAAUUGUGAAAUUCAUUAAUACUAAUUCAUUGUAGCAAUAUGUAUUUUGUUACAGGAAGCAGUUAAGUUAAAAUGGAUUGAUCUUCAUCACUCUCGAGACUGGGCGAAAAUCCCUUAUUCCUCAGAAUUGCCAAACCUUGAGAGAAUAGAACUUUUGAACCGUAGAAAGUUGCCUUACGUUGUCCCAACCAUUCAUAAUUUUAAUCAUCUUAGCAGCUUGUGUCUCGAAGGUUGCAAGAGUCCUAAGCACUUUCCAGGUAACACCCAUUUUAGAUCUCCAAUUGCAGUUAAUUUCUCCUUGUAUUUUGAUCUUACAGAGUUUCCACAAAUCACCGAAAAUGUAAGACCUUUACGUGGGACCCCAAUAGAAGAAAUUCGUGCAUCAGUUGAGUGCCUAAAUCUCGAGAAUUGCAAAAGGCUUAAAAGUAUUAGUAUUUCAAGUAAAAACAUUUGCAAAAGAAUUAUAAAACUGCAAUUAACUUAUUUAUAGGCAAAAAACUUGCCUAAUAGCCUUCAAGUUUGAUCAAAUUUGGUGGCUUACCCACCAAAUUUGAUCAAAUGAAUUUGGUCAUGUUCAACCAUGGCUGCUCCCAUGGUUCAAGAAUGGAGGCUAAAGCCUUUACUUUGACAGAUACCACACCACAAACUGAAGACAUGAAAACAAUAUUUCAUGCGCUCGAUGCUUUCAGAAGAGUGUGUGCAAUGUGGGACGAGCUGACUCAAAAUUUUGUAGCUAUGAUAAAUGACAAGUCUUCAGCUGUGUAACCUACUGUAGUAGCCCUUCGCAUUUGUCCCAACAUUGUUUAUCUACAGUCAUGCACAUGGACAUGGACUAACUUAAUAUAUUAUAAAAAAAAAUGUAUAGAUCAUACAUCUAGUAAUUAAUUAAGUGAUCACAUAAAAGGAUGUUCAGUUUGCCAAUGAAAAGAGAGGAGACAUGUUUCAUUAGAUUCUUUCAUUGUUCUUGUUUUGAAACAUCGCAUACAGAAUAUAAAUUUUAAUAUAUAAAAAAUUAUAUUUUUUGAUCUAUUAAAAUAUUGAAAUCUGUAUUUUUUGUCUGCUUUUUGCUACAAAAUUAUUAUUAUUAUUAUUAGCUAGCUCAGCUAGGCAGCGAUAAUAAAGAAAGUACCCGAGUCCUCUGGAUCCACCGAUAACAAGCGUGGUCAGCCGUCGAGCCUCCAUCUGUCAUGGCCCGCCGUGCCAUUCUAUUUGCCUGAUCCUCUUUCCGCUCUGGUUAAUGCUCUAUUUGCUUCCACGUUCUGGACUUAGCUAACAAUUCCAUCAGGAAGUCUUGGAUAUUAGUCAACCGUGUCCCGUACAAUUACAAUUAAUACGUGGCAGAAAAGAAUUCGCAGCACUCAAAGUUAAAGUGAUCUCUAGUUCAAUAAAAUCUUGACAAGUUUAGCCAUGAUAACAAAUUCAUUGCUUCUUUUUCCAUUUCGUUAUUCAAUUCUGUUUUACAGGUAUCAGCUUUGAUUAGCUCCUAUAUUUCAGAGAUUGUUCCCAGUUUUUUGUAAUUAGCCUAUACAAAAUUAAUGGAAUUUCCAAUCACAUGCGAAACGAAUACAAGCAUUAAGUGAUUACAAUUUUUUUUGAUAGAUUCGAUUAUGAAAUUAAAUCACAGUGAUUAUAAAGAACCAAUGCCAAAACAGAGGCAACUAUCUCAUAUAAAAGUAAAAUAAAGCAAAAUUGUAGUUAAUCACUAGAAAUUUAUGGUAAGAGGAGUGUUGAUGCUAAAAUCUGGUCUGCUGAUGAUGGCAACCGAAUUAUCUCGUCAACACUUGAAUUUGUUUUGAUGGGAAACUGUAGCUCGCUGCUCUGAUAGAAUCAAAAUCACGACGAUACUUCCUUUAUCCGUUGAUACCUUUUUUAAUAUGCAACAACAGAAAACUGUCAGGGGCGCUAGAUUUUUACCGGUGAAAACCCUUCGAUGUUCAAGUCAGCAAUUGAGUUUUUUACUAGAAAAAAUGAUAAUCUAAAAAACUCGAGAUUUCUUAAUUUUUUUUUAAUCUCAAACUUCUUCUUCUCUAUGAAAAAGGAAGAGUCCAUUUUUUUGGAUCUCACCGGGUUCUUAUAGACAACCGUGAGUACUGCUUGUCCUUUAAUAUACAGCCGUUACCAAAUUGAAUGCACCACAUGAAUUAAGAAUUAAUGCAUCCGUUUCUUUAUAAUUAUUGAGCUGUCGUUAUUACGCCGGUCGCACUUAGACGUUACGGACGAACUUCCAAGUGGAGUUCAACAGUUCGAGUAUUUAACCAAAGGCUCAAGAUCGACCAACCCGAUUCUAGUAUGCUCGUAGGGUAUUGGUCGUGCUUGCACAUUCAACCAACUAAAUCUCUCCUCGAUGUUUCACAACAUUGGAAUCUAGUCACUAUGUCUUAUAUCCCAAACAGGGAGGUUCUUUGGGUGUUCGAGACGUCACUGAACAACGGUAUUAUGUAAUUAAAAAAAAAAAGUGAAGAUUGAUAUAAUAAUGACACUUAGGAGUCAGCUCAAAGACUCAUCAACUUUGAGAGUGUUUGGGUUUCAAAACAUUACUACUAUUUUCAGUUACAUAAAGUCCUCUAAUUAGUUGAACCUCCUCCUCAUUCCGUGAAAUGGACCCAAAUUGAAUAACGUUAAAUAUUAACUUGAAGACAGAAUCAAAAUCAAAUAUGGCUAGUAAGUUGAUGCCUAUCUCUUCAGAUACAUGGAGAAUUCGGAUUUAGUCAUUCAUCGUGCACGUUAAUUUAUUUUCAUUUUUAUCGUCACACCAACUUUUGCUUUUGGAUGCAUUUGGAUGGGAAGUUUGGGAUAGAAUUGUAGUGCCUUCACAAGCCUAUGUUUUAUACGACAAAAAAAUAUGUUGAGUAAUGAAGAGUACCAGCUCGGCCAUGUCCUCAUCUCUCACCCUGAGGCGAAUCUCCUCAGCUGAAUGGCACGAGCAGAGUCCUGGUAAAACAUCAUGUAUGGGCAUGUGCCAACUAGAAACGAGCACCGACCAGAGAUAUGUACCGACCAGAUACUCAUCACCCAAAGAAAGAGGACACGAUCUCACGAAAUCGCGACAAUUUCGCCAUGCCCCGAACCGCUGGGGAGAACAUGACAUCUCACGUUUACCCACGAUUCGGUGGUUGGAGACCCAUGAGGGUCUAUCACCACCCGAAAAUGGGGGGCAUGAAGAAUACUCAGAAAACGUGGGAUGACGGCUAUAAGAAGCUAAGGGACCGAUGAAGAAGGGGACACAAAAAUUGAGAAAAAAAGGGAAACUGUGCCAAAUUAUUAUCAGAAAUUCUUAUAUCCAAAUCCUUGAGAUAUUUCGUAUUGAAAAUAUUGCAACUAAUAUGUACAACACAAAUCAUACAAUUUUUCCGUAAACAUCUUGUGCUAAUUUAAGCAUCGGAGGGUUUACGCCGGUAAAACUACUGGCGACUCUGAUAUGUUUCUGUGAACGCAGGAUUAGAAAGAAGAAAAAGGGUGAUUCCAACCCUAGGAGCUCGAACAAUUGCUGAAGCAAAGAGAGGGCGACAUCUUCUCCAUUGACCAUACAAGCGUUGGUGGAACGAUCUGGUCGGGCAAAGGGCGAUCACAUUUCAGCAUCAAUAUUUUGGCGCCGUCUGUGGAGAGCUGGAUAAAAAGCUACCACCAAGUUAGUAGUCAUUAGAGGAGCAGCGAACAAUCGGUUAUGGAUGUGACAAGGAAGGAUGUCCUAGGGGGUGACAAUGAAACUGGUGAAACGAUUACUCUCCGAGAGAUCGCAAAUGAGGCUAGAGAGAGGAUGAUACAAGAGCGGAUGGAACGGAUGGAGAAGCAAAUGGAGACUCUCACAGCUAUACUGCAUGAGCUGAGGGAUGAGCGGAGAAGGGAUUGUGAAACUACCGCGGUGAGAGAUAAAGCCAUUGCAGAACCCAGCCUUCAGAGGCAUAGAAUCGAGGAGAUUCCUCCGUUGGGAGGGCAACCCUAUGGGGUGCAUCCACAUAGAAGUGCAGGUCGGAUCCCAGGAGAGUGCGUGGAUGAAAGGAGAGACCAAUCUCGCUCUGGGCGAGUUAUGAGAGUUGAUAGCCGAGGAGUAAAUGUUGAGGAAACCUUCGCACCUCACCUUUCAAUUCUAAAGCGCGGUCUGAAUCGCGUGCAGCUACUUGGUCUUGCUCCUGCUCAGCGUUAUGCAGUCGCUGUCUGAGCAGGAGCAAGACCAAGUAGCUGCACGCGAUUCAGACCGCGCUUUAGAAUUGGAAGGUGAGGUGCGAAGGUUGGCGCAAGUGAUGAAUGAGAUCCAGGGCAAGAGAAAGCCUCCGAGCUGGAGGAUAAUACUGGAUGAAGAAUCUCUGCUAUCAGCCGAGAUCAUGGGUACGGUGAUCCCAAGAGAUUUCCGCUUUCCUGACCUCAAAUACUCCGGGAGAAGCGACCCGUUGGUGCAUAUUGAGCGUUUUAAUGACAUGACGGGUGUGCAGGGGUUAACACACAGCUCAUAGGGUGUUCCUAUUGACACUAGAGGGACGAGCCCGAGAGUGGUACCGUAAGCUACCACGUGGAAGUAUAAGGAGAUACGAGCAGAUGUGCCAGGAGUUGGCCGAGCAGUUCCGCGGAGCAAUAGCCCUAGAGAACGAUAUGAUGGAAUUGAUGAGGAUGAAGCAAGAGGAACACAAAUCCCUUCGCGAUUUUGUGAAGAGAUAUCAUCGGGCUGUGCUUGAUUUGGGGACUUUUAAUCACCCGCAGGCAUUAAGAGGGUUAAAAGAGGUGUGAUGAUAUGUCGAUUGUGGUACAACUUGAGAAACCCCAUCAUUCAGAAUUAUUCAGCGGGGUAUGAGCAGGCGAUGAGAGAUAUAGAAAUUGAAGAGGAGAAAACGGUGAGGAUAAAGAGUGAACAACUGGAGGAGCUGAGGCGAAAGGAGAAGAGAACACUGAGUGGAAGCGUGUCGGGAAAGCGAACUGGGGAAUCAUCAAUAAUGGAGGAAGCAUCUGCUUGGUCCCGCCCUUAUACAAUAGCUCAAAGACCACAACAGUUCCAACACAGCCGAACUUAGCCCCAGCGUCCCCCAUUCCCGGAACGGUAGUGGGAAUUCCGGCAGAUGGCUGCCCAUCCAUAUCACAAUACCUCAAGAGUAGUGAAUGCGGUUAACCCCAGAACUGGCAGACCAAGCCAGCCACCCCCAGUCCCAGCUCGGGACGAGUUUCACGACAGCCGAGCAGUCCAACUGAUUGACCAUAGCUUGGCGUAUAAACAGUACACCCAGUUGAAAAUUUCUAUGGAGGAGUUGUAUGAGAGGAUCAAGGGACGAGGCCUGCUAUAUCCUCCCAUCCCUGUAACUAAACCAGCUCACAAACGGGAUAAAAGAAGAUUCUGUAAAUUCCACGAUACUCAUGGUCACACUAUCAGCCAGUGUCGUGAUCUGAAAAAUCAGGUGGAGGAUUUGGUGAGAAACUGUUACUUGGAUGAGUAUGUAGAUGGGACGUUCCCUAUCAUUGAAUCAUAAUAUACGCUGGGGGAUGGAGUCGAGAGAGAUCUGGAGCGUGAACAGCCAACUAUCCGGGUGAUAGCAGAAGGGCCGACAUUGGCUGGAGAUUCGAACAGGGCACGGAAGAAUUAUGGGAGAUAUGCUCUGACCAGCAAAGAGAUGCUUUUCAAUUUGCCAAUAGUCAAGAGGGCGAAAGUGAGGCAAGUUCCCAUUAUGUGGACAGAUGAUGAUGAAGAGGGUGUUUUAUACCCUCAUGAGGAUGCACUAGUGAUUAAGGCGAUGGUGGCGGGUAAAGAAUUUCGGCGAAUACUGGUGGAUACGGGCAGCUCGGUCGACAUACUGUUUAAGUCGGCCCUAGAUGAUAUGGGAAUUGCGGACUUGAAAUUGGAACGGACGAACACAUCCUUGAAAUGAUUUGGAGGAGGACGGUUGACCUCCAUGGGGAUCGUCGAGCUGCCGAUUACUGUAGGAUCGAAGCCGUUUGAAAAAAUAGUGAUGCUGGACUUUGUAGUGGUGGAAGAGAAAAGCUCUUACCAGAUAAUACUGGGACGAUCUUUCAUGAGGGUAAGCCAAUGUGUUAUAUCCAUGCAUUAUCUAGCGUUGAAAUACAGAGUGAACGGGGUUGUGGGCGUAGUAAAAUGAGACCAGAGAAUGGUGAUGAGUUGUUAUGUUAUAGCCGCCAAUGAAACAUUACAAGUUACCACUCUAGAUAACCGAGGAGACUCUAAAAAAGGUCGCCAGGAACCAGCGGAGAAAUUGGAAGAGGUUUUGGUGAACAAGAAUGACCUGAGCAAAGUGAUAAGGAUUGGGUCGGGAUUGGGCGAGGCAAUAAAAGGCGAGCUGGUAAAGUGCCUACAGUCCCAUGUAAAUAUAUUUGUUUGGUCGCAUGAGGACAUGCCAUGAAUUAAUCCCGGGGUAGCUUGCCACAAGUUGGCAAUUAGGAAAAGUGUAAGACCGGUGAGGCAGAAAAUGAGAUGCUUUAACCAGGAAAGGUACGAGGCCAUAAAUGCUGAAGUAGAGAAGCUGUUGCGAGCAGGAUUCAUAAGGGAGGCUAAAUACCCGGAGUUGAUUUUCAAUGUGGUGUUGGUAAAGAAGGUCAAUGGGAAAUGGAGAAUGUGUGUAGAUUUCACAGACCUUAACAAAGCCUGCCCAAAUGAUGGCUUUUCCCUACCUAAAAUAAAUCAAUUGGUUGACUCAACGGCGUGCCACAGUCUGCUUAGAUUCAUGGAUGCCUUUUCGGGAUACAACCAGAUACCCAUGGACAAGUAGGAUGAGGAGAGUACCACGUUUAUAACUAACAUGGGCUUGUUUUGCUACAGAGUGAUGCUCUUUAGCCUGAAAAAUGCAGGGGCUACCUAUCAAAGGUUGGUGAAUAAAAUUUUCAAGCCAUUGAUUGGUCACACUAUGGAAGUAUACGUGGAUGAUAUGAUCACGAAGUCUAGAGAGCCAAUAGACCAUGUGAAGCACUUGGAAGAGACCUUCGAAUUGUUGAGGAAGUACCAAAUGAAGCUGAAUCUGGAGAAGUGUGCAUUUGGAGUUAGCUCGGGUAAAUUCUUGGGGUUCCUAGUGAGCCACCGAGGGAUAGAGGCCAACCCAGAAAAAAUACGGGUGGUAAUAGAAAUGAAGUCCCCCGAACAAUUAAGGAGGUGCAGAGCUUUACAGGGAAGUUGGCGGCAUUGAACCGGUUCAUCUCGCGGGCCACGGAUAAGUGUCACCAUUUCUUCCAAACCAUAAAGAAAAUGGAGUGGACUGCAGAAUGUGAGGAGGCAUUUGGGCAGCUGAAGGAAUAUCUUGCCAGUGCCCCAUUAAUAUCGACUCCGAGAGAGGGUGACGAGUUGUAUUUAUAUUUAGUUGUCUCUAAAUGGGCUACUAGCUCGGUAUUUGUCAGAGAAUGUGAGGGAAAGCAACACCCUGUGUACUACACUAGCAAGGCCCUAAUGGACGCAAAAACUAGAUAUCCACUGAUGGAGAAAUGGGCGCUGGCUUUAAUAACGGCAGCACGCAAGCUCAGACCAUAUUUUCAGGCCCACCCGAUAAUAGUGAUGACCGACCAACCUAUUCGGCAAACGCUCCUAAAACCAGAUGCAUCUGGUCGGUUAGUAAAAUGGUCUAUAGAGCUGAGUGAAUUCGACCUAUCUUACAGACCUCGAGGAGCAAUCAAAGCCCAAGCCUUGGCUGAUUUUAUGGUUGACCGUAUGGAACCAGGGGAAGGAGUUCAGAAGGAACAACCGGUUGAACCGGAGAAACCAGAAGGGGUGUGGCUGGUAAUGGUUGAUGGGUCACGUAGUGAACAAGGGUCCGGAGCAGGAGUAGUAAUACGAAGCCCAGAAGGGGCCGAUGUGUCCUAUGCAGUGAAGUUCGAAUUCCAGCUCACGAAUAAUCAAGCAGAAUAUGAAGCCUUCAUCACCGGGCUUGGGCUGGCACACGCAUUAUGAGCAGAAAUGGUAGAAAUCCGAGCAGACUCUCAGUUAGUCUGUAAUCAGCUCAAUGAACAAUUCCAAGCAAGGGAAGAAAAGAUGGAGCUUUAUUUGAAGAAGGCAAAACAGAUGAUUAGGCUCUUCCAAGAGGUAGAAAUAAAGCAGAUAUCCCGAACAGAGAAUUACCGAGCAGAUAUGUUGGCCAGAAUGGCCGCAAUUGCGGAUCCGAAGUUACUCAAGUCGGUCCCAUUGGAAGUAAAGACCUCGCCAAGCUUAGAGAAGGAGGUAGAAUUAAUGCGGGUGAGCACCGAAAGAUCCUGGAUGGACCCAAUUCUCUCAUACAUCCGCGAUGGCAUUUUACCAGAGGACAUGAAGCAAGCAAGGAAGUUGAAAUUUCGUGCAGCAAGGUAUACGCUACUCGAUGGGGUACUCUACCGUCGAGGAUUCACUUUGCCCCUCUUGAGAUGUUUGGAUGACGAGGAAGCAAAUUAUGUGCCGAGGGAAAUUCAUGAAGGAAUAUGCGGCAACCACUCAGGGGCAAGGACUUUGGCCUUCAAGGCACUUCAACAAGGGUAUUUUUGGCCGACUAUGUACCACGAUGCGAAGGGGAUGGCAAAAAAUUGUAGAGUCUGCCAAAGUUUCUCGGAUGUUCCUGCUCAGCCCCCAGAAAGGCUAACCGCUAUGUCAUCUCCAUGGCCUUUUGCCCAGUGGGGGAUCGACCUGAUUGGCCCAUUACCCAAAGGCCAAGGAGCCGCAACACAUGCAAUUGUGGCUAUAGAUUACUUCACUAAAUGGGUAGAAGUAGAAGCCUUCAGUCAAAUCACGGAGAGGAAGACAACUGAUUUUAUCUAGAAGAAUAUCAUCUGCAGAUAAGGAAUCCCCUAUGCCAUCAUAACGGACAAUGGGAGGCAAUUUGACAACCACAAUUUCAGAGAAUUUUGCCAAAACUUGGGUGUAGAUUUAAAGUUUUGUACAUCGGCACACCCCCAGGCAAACGGGCAGGUAGAAGCAGCCAACAAAGUUAUAAAGAAGCUCCUGAAAACCAUGCCGGGAGAGAAGAAAUGAGCUUGAGUCGACGAGCUACCAGGAGUGUUAUGGGCUUACCGAACAACCCACAAAACUGCCACAGGAGAAACCCUAUUUGCCCUAGCUUUCGGUCAUGAGGCGGUAAUCCCAUCAAAAAUUGGGGUGGGAACGCAUCAGACAGAAUAUUUCGACGAGAAACAGAAUGAUGAGCAGAUUUGUAUGAGCCUAGACCUAUUGGAGGAAAAAAGAGAAGGGGUCUCGUAGAAAAUGACCCAAUGCCAAUAAAAAAUCAUACGUUAUUACAACAAGAACGUACGCAUGAGGCAGUUCCGAGCAGGCGAUUGGGUACUUAGAAAAGUGAACCAGAACACAAGAGAGCCUAAUCAUGGAGUUCUCGGCCCGAAGUGGGAGGACCCGUACAGGGUAGUACGAACAACUGGCCCAGGAGCUUACAAGCUGACCUACCCAGAUGGACGAGAUGUAAAGAGGUCGUGGAACGCUGAGCACUUGAAGAAAUAUUUCCAAUAAGCGAAGCGUUUUACCAAGUUUUAUUCUGCCAAGCUAUUUCUGUUAAAUGCAUGAUGAAUUGUAGCACACGCAUGUAUUUCACCUCUUGUAAUCCAUGAAAAGUUUAAUAAAGAUGAACUCAACACAAAAUUCCCUUGUUAGAUGAAUUUUGUUAAGGCAAGCAAGUGUUUAUUCCUACUCGGUCGUCUAAAUGACUAGCAAGCAAAGUCUACUAAAAUUAUUAAGGCAAACAAGUGCUUAUUCCUGCUCGGUCAUCUAAAGGACCAGCAGGCAAAGUUUAUUAAAUUUGUUAAGGCAAGCAAGUGUCUAUUCCUGCUCAGUCGUCUAAAGGACCAGCAAGCAAAGUCUACUAAAAUUAUUAAGGCAAACAAGUGCCUAUUCCUGCUCGGUCGUCUAAAAGACCAGCAGACAAAGUCUACUAAAUUUAUUAAGGCAAGCAAAUGCCUAUUCCUGCUCGGUCGCCUAAAGGACCAGCAGGCAAAUUCUAUAAAAUUUUACUAAGGCAAACAUGUGCAUAUUCUUGCUCGGUCGCCUAAAGAACCAGCAGACAAAUUAUAUAAAAUUUUACUAAGGCAAACAUGUGCAUGUUUCUGCUCGGUCGCCUAAAGAACCAGCAGGCAAAUUCUACAAAAUUUUACUAAGGCAAACAUGUACCUAUUCCUGCUCGGUCGCCUAAAUGACCAGCAGGCAAAUUCUACAAAAUUUUACUAAGGCAAAUAUAUGUCAACUCCUGCUCGGUCGUUUGAAGGACCAGCAGGCAAAAUUCUAUGAAAUCGUUAAGGUAAGAAAUUGUCUAUUUCUCCUCGAUCACUCAAAGACAAGCAGACAUAUUUUUCAAGGUAAUUUGCAGAAACAACCAAAAGCAUAACUAUGGCAAGAAAGCAACUAGAAAUCAUCAAAGGUUUAUAACCACUCAAACGUUUGCAAACAAACAAAAAUCCAGAAUUUACAUAGAAAACAAGGUUAGGGAUUGUGAGGCUCAGCAGCCUCAGUAGAAGGAGGAUCAGCAAUCUCGGAAGAAGAAUGACCAGCAACUUCUGGAGGAACAGGUGUUGACCCCUGACCUGUUCCCAAAGCAUGAUCCCCUGCUCCCCACCUGAAGGAGCAUCGACCUAGUCCUGGUCCCCCUGGUCCUUAUCCCCCUAAUCUGACUCGGCCAUAUACUUCUGCACUCUCGCCUCCAGCUUGCUCAUGUUAAGCUCUAGAUAUUCUUCCUUAAGCACAAACAUGAUGCACUUGUAGCAAAAUGCAAGCCCAGAGUUAUUCUCUGCAUCCAGCCAGUCGUCCACCUCAGCAGAUUUGCCCUUCAGCUCGGCUACCUGCUCGUUCAAGGACUUGAUUUGCUCCUCGUAGGCCGUCUUCAAAGUAUCUCGCUCACUUUGUGCAGCCUGGAGAUCAGACUUCAAGUCACCCAACUCGCUCUCGAGCUUGGAAGAGUUGGACUCAGCAAUGGUCACUUUCUCCUCCAGGUCCAUGAUCUGCUUAUGCAGAUCGAGCAGCUUCUCCCUCAAGCGAUCAGCGAACUCAGCCUUUUUCUUCAAGUCUUGGUUGUCCGCUUGAAGCCUCCUCUCAUGGCGCGUGGACUUGUUCUUGUAGCAAGAAACCAAAGUAGUCAGCUUAAAAGAGACCCUCUUAAUAGAACCAAUCAAUUCGCUAAGAUUCAUGCUCUCAAUAUCCUUGAUCAUUUUGGGUCCCACUGACUUGCCAUAGUCCCUUUGGUAUGGGGUCAAAUAGUUACCAUGAUCCCGAGGUGGAAGAGGAGAGGAUCGAUCUCCAGAUUGAGCGCUGACCUCAGGACUCUUGUCGCAAACCUUCUCCCCGCUAUUCUUUCGAGGUGGAGGAGGGGGCAGAGCAGGAGCAGGAGCCUUAGAAGAACUAACAUUGACUUUCUUCAAGGGAGGGGGGGAUUGCUGGAGCUACCUGACCCCCAAGCACGUUUCUUUGACAUAGGCGCGACCUAAUAAGAUUUGUUGACGAUAGGAGAUCUUGACAGGUAGACGCAUUCACUAGAGUAAUUUCCACCUUGAGCAGCGGAUCGUCAUCAAGUUUCUUGAUUAGGCCCCACGACUCUGAAAGAAUAAACAAGGUUAAAGAACUAAAUAAGUGACGACCAGAGACGUAAAGUGUACAGAAAAAUAAACAACCUAGGGUGACAAAACGCGUUGGAAGGUGAAUAUCACCACCAAGCAAAUGGAUCGUUGGACACCAAUUUUCCUCAGUAAAGAAAAAUUUGUUCUUCCAGUUUUUACACGAGGAAGGAAAGUCGGUGAUAGGCUUCCUCUUCGCAGAGCUUGACAUAAAGUAGUACCAGCCUGCUUCCUUUGGACUGCUCCUCAGCUGAUACAAAUAUUUUACCUCCAUGAGGGAAGGCUCCCCGAGUCCACACAUUUCCCAUAGCACAUACAAGGCCGAAAGAACACUUCACCCGUUCGGGUGAAGCUGACCUGGAGCCAGAUGCAUGCCACCCAAUAUCCUGGCAAAAUAAGGUUGAAGGGGCAACCGAGCCCCUAACUUGAAGCUCUCCAGAUGCAUUGUCACAUACCCCUUAGGAGGCCGACUGGGGACAUCACCUUUCCCAGGGAUAACAAGGAGGACGUCAUCAGGGAUAUUAUAAAGAUUUCUUAGCUUGAGCAUGUCAGUGUGGGUGGUGGCACAAGUAAUAUAGUCAAUGGGGUAAGCAUCUGCCUCUAUCCUAUGACCGAGGUAUCUCUUCUUAGAGGGUCGGCUCGGCUCUGCUCGGAACUACUCUCCUCACCAUCACCCUCUUCAUCAGGGACCCCAGCCCCCUCAGAACCGUGAUUUUCACCAGAACCCGACGAUGGUCCACCACGGUUUCCCAUAGGUUUAAAAUCAAGGGAAGGAAAAAUGGUCUUGGGACGAGGGUACUCAGGGGUAUCCCUAUUAUAGAAGGGGCCUACACUGCGAGAAUGGUAUAGUGGAUCAGUGGGUCCUAAUAGGUUGUGGUACGAAUCCUCUACCUCUUCGUCACUCUCAUCUACAAUUAAUUUUCCUCUUCGGUUUGACAUAGCGAAAUCUGAAAAGGGAAAGCACAACAAAUCCAAGUAUAUUGGUACAAAAGGGACAAUACAGAACCCAAGCAACAACAACCAGAGAAGAAGUUAAAGGCGAUACCUGGAAUAGAUCGACACUGGUAGCGUUACCGUGACGGAGAAAGAGCCCAGCAAACAGAAGUCUCCGAUGCAGAAAGUACGAGUAAGGUCCAAAGAAGGAGUUGGCUUACGGCAGAAUGAUAGAUAACGAAACGCAAUGGCAGUUCCAAUUUAGGGAUUUAAGACGAAAGGGGGAACAGAGGCGUUUAAGUUAUGCGGAUGUCAGCUCAAUCGCCGCGUAUCAAGGACAUAUAAGCCGCCGUUUCAAAUUUCAAAUAUGAAAGGGCAAAAAGUGACACGUCACUGGCCAUUAAAAAUGCAUGAUGAGAUGUCAGCCCAGUUGUGUAUUGGAUACGCUCACAAAAGCCCAUACUCAGGCCAGAAACCCUCUAAACAGAAGAAAUUAUCUCGGGUCCGUCACGGUAAUCAAGACGGCAUGAUGAGUUGUCAGCCCAGCUACAUAUUAGACACGCUCACGAAGGCCCAUACUCGGACCGAGAACUCUUUAAACAAGAGACGUCACCUCGGGUCCAUCACAAUAACACAAGGACCAGAGGAAUGUUUCCCGAGGUUAGCCAGAUCCAAUUCUUAGUUUCUAAUCUCAACUCGUUUCACUCGCAAGACCAGAAACUAGGGGACUGGUGUUGAGUAAUGAAAAGUACCAGCUCGGCCAUGUCCUCAUCUCUCACCCUGAGGCAAAUCUCCUCAGCUGAAUGGCACAAGCAGAGUCCUGGUAAAACAUCAUGUACGGGCAUGUGCCAACUAGAAACGAGCACAGACCAUAGAUAUGUAUCGACUAGAUACUCAUCACCCAAAGAAAGAGGACACGAUCUCACGAAAUCGCGACAGUUUCGCCAUGCCCCGAACCGCUGGGGAGAACAUGACAUCCCACGUUUACCCACGAUUCGGUGGUUGGAGACCCAUGAGGGUCUAUCAUCACCCGAAAAUGGGGGGUAUGAAGAAUACUCAUAAAACGUGGGAUGACGGCUAUAAGAAGCCAAGAGAUCGAUGAAGAAGGGGACACAAAAAUUGAGAGAAAAGGGGAAACUCUGCCAAAUUAUUAUCAGAAAUUCUUAUAUCCAAAUCCUUGAGAUAUCUCGUAUUGAAAAUAUUGUAACUAAUAGGUACAACACAAAUCAUACAGUUUUUCCGUAAACAUCUUGUGCUAACUUAAGCAUCGGAGGGUUUACACCGGCAAAACUAUCGGCGUCUCUGAUCUGUUUAUGUGAACGCAUGAUUAGAAAGAAGAAAAAUGGUAAUUCCAAUCUCAAAAGCUCGAACAAUUGCUGAAGCAGGGAGAGGGUGACAUCUUCUCUAUUGACCAUACAAGCAUUGGUGGAAUAAUCUAAUCGAACAAAGGACGAUAAGAUUUCAGCAUCAACAAAAUAAUCAAAAGAAACGAACAAUUUUCAUUAGAAUAUAUAGUAAUCUUAAUAUCGCCUUGCUGGAAGGAUGCCCUUAAUUUCGCUGUUAUUGGAUUCUGUCAAAAGGAUUGGAUCCAAUAAAAUCUUGCAAUUUGGAUCACGGCAUGCAGAUCUCACCUUUGUUAGGAAAUUGGUGGGUGAAGCAGGACCGCAGUUAAAAUAAAAAUGGAAGAAAAAUAAAGAACAAACACAAAAGAGAAUACCAGAAAUUACGUGGUUCGGCUUUUAGCCUACGUCCACGGGCGAAGAUAGAAGGAAAAUAUUAUACUAGUGAAAAGGAGUUACAAGUAUUGUAGUAUUUUAGCUCACUACCCAAAAGCCUCAAUACACCCAAACUCUCAAAUCACUAAGCACACAAAAUUCUUUGCUCUUGCAAGAAUUACUUCUCACAACUCUCAACUCUCUCUACAAAAAUUGGAUGCAAAUGAAUUAGGAAGCUCUCCCUUUUAUAGCCAAAAAAUGGCUAUUAAAUUAAUAUAUAUAUAUUUCAAAUGUUGUUGCCAACUUCUUCUUUUUCUUUGGACGGCACCAAAACUUUUAACAUUUUCUUUGGUCGGCUUGUCAAAGCCAACUUGAAUUUGCCUUGUGGCCACCGGCUUUGACAUUUCUCCCACUUGGAGAUUUGAUUGAGAGUCAAUCAAUCUCCACACCAUCUUUUCUGCUUCGCCAUAAUCAUGUUGCCUACGUUUCUGCUAGGCCACAAGAAGAUCUACUCCAGACAAACUUAUCAGUAUUUAUCGGCUUGGUCAAAACAUCUGCUAGGUUCUCCUUGGUAUGGAUUUUCUGUAAAUCCACAUUUCCGUCUUCCACUACUUCUCGAACGAAGUGAUACUGAACUCCUAUGUGCUUUGUCCUGGAAUGAAAGGCUGGAUUCCUUGCAAUGUGCAAGGCACUCUGACUGUCACAAAACACAGGAAUUUUCUGUUGUUUGUGCCCGAGCUCCUCCAAUAACCAUUGUAUCCAAAUAGCUUCCUUGCAAACUUGUGUAGCUGCCAUGUACUCUGCUUCUGUUGUAGAUAAAGCCACAACGGUCUGCAGUUUCGAAACCCAGCUUACAGCUGCUCCCGCAAGUGUAAACACAUAACCAGUAGUGGAUUUUCUUUUAUCAAGAUCUCCUGCAAAAUCUGAAUCCACAUAGCCCCUAACAGUAAACUCUGAUCCUCCAUAACAUAAUGCAACAUCUGAGGUUCCGCUAAUGUAUCUCAGAAUCCUCUUCACAGCUAUCCAAUGUUCUCCACCAGGAUUCGCCAUGUAUUGACUAACUGCUCCCACUGUUUGUGCAAUGUCUGGUCUUGUACAUAUCAUAGCGAACAUCAAACUUCCCACUGCUGAUGCAUACGGUACUCGAGACAUCUCAUUCCUCUCUGCUUCAUUGCUAGGACACAUACUUGAGGAUAAUUUGAAAUUAACAAAAAGUGGGGUAGAAAUUGACUUACAAUCUUGUAUGUUGAAGCGCCGUAAUAUUUUCUUCAAGUAAUUCUUCUGUGAAAGCCAAAUCUUCCUGUUAUUUCUGUCUCGGUGAAUUUGCAUCCCUAGAAUCUUGUUUGCUGGUCCCAAGUCCUUCAUUUCAAACUCCCUAGCCAACUGUGCCUUCAAUUCUUGGACUCGAUCUUUGUUGGGGCCUGCUACCAACAUGUCAUCCACGUAUAAUAGCAAAAUGAUGAAAUCAUUAUCUUCAAACCUCUUGUAAUAUGCACAAUGGUCUGAACUGAGUCUGUUGUAUCCAAGGCUCAUGAUGAAGGAAUCAAAUCUCUUAUACCAACAUCUCGGCGCCUGUUUGAGACGGUAUAGAGAUUUGUUCAACCUGCAAACCAAGUUCUCCUUUCCUGUUUUUGCAAAAUCUUCUGGUUGGAGCAUAUAUAUUUCUUCUUCAAGUUCUCCAUGAAGAAAUGCAUUUUUCACAUCCAACUGCUCAAGAUGUAAGUCAAAUGUAGCACACAUCGUCAAGACAACUCUGACUGUUGUAAGUCGAACCACCGGAGAAAAUAUCUCGUUAAAGUCAAUACCUUAUUUCUGAGCAUAUCAUUUCACCACCAAUCUUGCACGAUACCGCUCCACUUGGUCAUUGCCAUCACGCUUGAUCUUGUAGACCUAUUUGUUUCCAAUGGCUUUUCUUCCGUGUGGUAGUGGUACAAGUUCCCAUGUCUUGUUCUUGUGUAGAGCUUUAAUUUCUUCCUGCAUUGUUGUCAUCCACAAAGCAACAUCUGAGCUGUUUAAAGCUUCAUGGAAAGUUGAAGGCUCUUAAUCCUCUGUUAGAAAACAGUAUGCAACGUUGAUCUCUGUGACAUACUCCGAGUGCCAGAUUGGCGGUCGUCUCUCACGAGUUGACCGACGAACUUCUGAAGCCUCGGACUCAACUGGUUCUUGUUCUUCGUGCUCUGGUGCUGCUUCAGAAGAAUCUGAAUCUUCUGGAUUAUUUUCCACAUAUACCGGUAUAGUCUCUGACUUUUCUUUUACCCUGCUAUCAUCCUCAUCUCUCCUUUGCAGUUGAUCUUCUAUAAAGAUAACAUCUCUGCUGAUGACGAUCUUGUGGGCAGUGGGGUCCCACAGACGAUACCCCUUUACUCCAUCAGCAUACCCCAAGAAGAUACAUCUUCUAGAUUUUGGAUCCAGCUUUGUUCUUUCUUGGGCAUUGUACAUCACGUACACAGGACAUCCAAAUGCAUGUAGGUAGGAAUAAUCAGCUGGCUUUCCAGUCCACAUCUCCAUCGCUGUCUUCAACCCAAUUGUUGUAGAUGGUGAUCGAUUUACUAUAUAACAGGCAAUUUUGGCUGCUUCUGCCCAAAAUUAAUUGGGUAGACCAACAGUCCUCAACAUAGCUCUUAUCCAUUCUGUAAGAGUUCUAUUCAUCCGUUCUGCCACUCCAUUUUGUUGAGGAGUGUAUGUCACCGUGAACUGUCUCUGAAUACCUUCUUGCUUACAGAAAGUAAGAAACUCGCCGUCUGUAUACUCUCCACCAUUAUCUGUCCUCAAGCACUUGAUCUUUUUACCAGAUUCAAGUUCCACCCGCACUUUGUAUUCUUUAAACACUGGAAAUACAUCUGACUUUUUCUUAAUUGGAUACACCCAACAUUUUCUGGAAUAAUCAUCAAUGAAAGUCAUCAUGUAUUUUGCACCUCCCAUAGAUAUAUCCGGUGAUUCCCAAACAUCAGAAUGAAUCAAGUCUAGAAUGCAUUUACUUCUAGCAAUAGAUCUACUGAACUUUAAUCUAUGCUGCUUACUUGUAACACAAUGCUCGCAAAAUAGUAAACUUACCGAUUUGAGCCCCGGAAGCAAUUUUCGCUCAGAGAGAAUCUUCAAACCUUGUUCUGACAUGUGACCAAGUUUGAGAUGCCACAUCAUCAUUGACUCUUCUCCAUUUGACGCGACACACGCAUCAGCCUCCUGUAGUGUUUCUCCUUUAAGCAUGAAUAGAUUAGCACCGAUCUUUUCUGCCUUCAUCAAUACAAGCGCACCUUUAACGAUCUUCAUUAUUCCAUUCUCCACAUGAUUUUUGUACCCAUGAUUAUCCAUUUGUCCCAAAGACAAUAGAUUUUUCUUCAAGCCGUUGACAUGUCGUACCUCCCCAAUUGUGCGAAUUGUACCAUCAAACAUUUUUAUUUUGAUAGUACCAAUACCAGCGAUCUCUAAGGCAUGAUCAUCUCCCAUAUAUACAGAUCCUCCUGAGAUAUGUUCAUAUGUGUGGAACCAUUCUCUCCGAGAGGUCAUGUGCCAGGUAGCUCCUGAGUCUAUAAGCCAGACAUCAGACAAUCGUUUUCUGCCUUCUGAAACAGUUGUUGCCUCACUGUAGAGAAUUUCGCCAUCAUCUGAGGUACUUGCUACACACCCCUGAGCAUUUGAUGACUCAGGUUCUUUGCCCUCUCCUUUCUUCUGGUUACUCCAACACUCUUUCUUGACGUGCCCUUUCUUGUCACAGUUGUAGUAUUUAACAUUCUUCUUACUUCUGGAUUUUGAUCUACCAUUAUUGUGACUCCCACUAGGGCCACGUUCCGUUGAUCUCCCUCUCGUCACCGAUAGCGCCUCCGCUUGCUGCGAACUUGCUUGUCUGUUUUCUUUAUUUUUCCGCCUGCUCUCCUCAUUUAAUACGGAGGCUGAAACAUCAUCGAAAAUUAGAUUGUCCGAUGGAUUGUUGUUCGUCAGAUUGAUGAUGAGUUGAUCAUACGAAUCUGGUAGACUUUGAAGUAGAAGCUCUGCACGUUCAUUUUCCUCUAUAUUAUGACCCAACGUUGUGAGUUAUGAAAAUAGAGUCUUCAAAGUGUUGAUGUGAUCGGUCACCAUUGUAGAUUUCGCCAUUCGAAAAGUAUAGAGUUUCCUCUUCAAGAAGAUUUUGUUGUGUAAUGACUUGGCCUCGUACAAUUUUGUAAGAGUAUCCCAAAUUUCCUUCGCUGUAUUUUUCUCUGCCACACUGGAUAAUACUCCAUCUGCAAGUGCCAAGUGUAGAUCAAAAAUGGCGUUGCCAUCUAUCUCGUUCCACUUGUCAUCAGUUAUCUCCAUGGGCCUUUCUCCAAUUGCUGCCAAGUAAUUAUUUUUCCUCAAUACAUCUUUCAUUUUCAUUUUCCACAACGAAAAAUUAUUUCCAUUAAAUUUCUUAAUUUCAUACUUUGCCGCCAUUUUGUUGAUAAAUACUGCACACAAGCUAGUGUACCACUUUGAAUAGUUGUGAGUAUGUGUUAGAAUGCACACCAGGAAAGUUCCCAGGAAAGACUGGAGGGGUCACAAUGGUCCCACUUAAAACCCAUACUCCUUAAGCUCUUAUCGCCUUUGUGACAGACCUUUCCUAGAAAUGUACAAAAAACCACACAGUUGUUUUACUCACACCACUAUUCCCUGCUUUGCACUACAAAAUUCUUGGAUCGCUCCCACCGUUUCACGUAGUACCGUAUACGUGAAACAGUACCGUAUACGUGAACAGUACCUGACUCCAAAAAAUACAACCAAUAGCUCUGAUACCACUGUUAGGAAAUUGGUGGGUGAAGCAGGACCGCAGCUAAAAUAAAAUUGGAAGAAAAAUAAAGAACAAGCACAAAAGAGAAUACCAAAAAUUACGUGGUUCGGCUUUUAGCCUACGUCCACGGGCGAAGACAGAAGGAAAAUAUUAUACCAGUGAAAAUGAAUUACAAGUAUUGUAGUAUUUUAACUCACUACCUAAAAACCUUAAUACACCCAAACUCUCAAAUCACUAAGCACAUAAAAUUCUUUGCUCUUGCAAGAAUUACUUCUCACAACUCUCAACUCUUGCUACAAAAAUUGAAUGCAAAUAAAUUAGGGAGCUCUCCCUUUUAUAGCCAAAAAAUGACUAUUAAAUUAAUAUAUAUAUAUUUCAAAUGUUGUUGCCAACUUCUUCUUUUUCUUUGGACGGCACCAAAACUUUUAACAUUUUCUUUGGUCGGCUUGUCAAAGCCAACUUGAAUUUGCCUUGUGGCCACCGACUUUGACAACCUUAUCUUAUCUUAACUAAAUCUAGUGACCUUUUUAUUUUCAUAAUUGAUCUUUAUCUAUAAUCAAUCAAAUGGUGUCUGCUCGAUAUUUAUCAGUUUGGAUAAUUUUUUUUAUUUAAAAAAAUCUGAAUUUUGACGUAACUCACUUUAGUUUCCAUCUUCCUCACUGAACCGGUGACGACAACGCACUUACGUAGGUAGAUUUGUUUCAGGUGCAUAAUUAUUAACUAUGCAAGUCGAGAUAAUAAUUAAUUAGACACGUGUUUCUUUUGAGAUGGGAAAAUUUCAUAAUGAUAAUUUAUUAAAAAUUAUUACUCUUUGUUAAUCUUGGACAUAAUAAUUAGAAAUCUAUUUAAUUAGCUUAAACGUUAAAUUUAAAGUUGAAGUUGUGUGUGAAGUUCACUUAACUUUUAUCACCUUUAUUUCGAAUGGCGCCUCCGACGAACGGCAAUGGCAGGCUCAAUCAGAGAUGGACUGUCCAGGGCAUGACUGCGCUUGUAACUGGUGGAACCAAAGGACUAGGGUUCUUAAUCGAUUCUUAUCUCUCUAGUUAGCUCUUAUAUGCAUUCCUUUCCUAUUAAUAUUGCCUGCAUGUGCUCAUAUUUUUGUCUCUGUUAUUGGUGCAUUGACUAGUCAUGCUGUAGUGGAGGAACUGGCUGAGCUUGGUGCCACUGUGCAUACAUGCUCUAGGAAUGAAGCAGAUCUUAGUGAAUGCAUACGUGACUGGAAAACCAAAGGCUUCAAAGUCACCGGUUCAGUGUGCGAUGUAUCAUCUCGAAUUGAACGGGAAAAGCUUAUAAACCAAGUCUCCUCUCUGUUCGAUGGAAAACUUAACAUUCUCGUAUGAUUCAUAUAUGGUGUUAAUUAUAUUGCAUAUUAAUUAAUUGUUGUUAUAAUUAAUCCCGUGGUGCAGUGAGUUUUAAUUUGCUUUACUAGCUAACUACUUAAUUAACACGAUCCAUAUCACUUAUCACUAUGUCUAUGUAUGUAUGCGAUGUGACUCUCUCUAGAUAAACAACGUCGGGACGACUAUAAGAAAGGCGACUGUGGAGUACACAGCAGAAGAUUUCUCGUUUCUCAUGGCUACCAAUUUUGAGUCUGCUUACAAUCUGUGCCAACUUGCACAUCCUCUUUUGAAAGCUUCGGGGGCAGCAAGUAUUGUUCUAAUGUCUUCUGUUUGUGGGGUGGUGUCAGUUGUUGACGCUGGAUCCAUAUAUGGAGCUACGAAAGGUGACCCUUGACAACAUUUUUCAACAUCAUAUCAUGAGCUCUAGUCUUGUCUUUGAACCCCGUGACUGGGAGGCUCUAUGGCAUUACGACUUGUCUUUAAACAUUAAACUUGAACUUUCUCUAACCCCAACUAGUUAUAUGUUAAUCACAGGAGCCAUGAACCAUCUUGCGAGGAUUUUGGCAUGCGAGUGGGCUCAAGACAAUAUUAGGACCAAUUCUGUCACACCUUGGUUCGUCCCGACUCCUUUAACUGAAUCUGUAAGAACUAUUUUAUUCACUCUGAUUCUCAAUGUUAUAUAUAUGAAUGCAGUUUCAUUUUUCUUAUUAAUUAGUUAAAAAAAUUAAUAAGAAAAAUGAAAGUGUGUUUUUCUCCCAAGUUAUUAUAUGAUUGAGGAUGCCCUCUUAUAAAUUUGCAGUUUCUGAAUGAUGAGGCAUUUUUAAAGGAAGUCGAGGGUCGAACUCCAAUGAGACGCACAGGGAAGCCAAAUGAGAUAUCUUCAUUGGUAGCAUUUUUAUGCAUGCCUGCAGCCUCUUAUAUAACUGGUCAGACAAUUUCCGCUGACGGAGGAUUUACAGUGAAUGGAUUCUUCUUCCCAAGUACCUGAUUUAUUUUGUCCACUUCUCUGAAAUCUUCGAAUCUGAUAACUUAGUGUUGUGAUUUCUCAGGCCCUAAUAAACCGCCAGCAUGUAUCUCUUUUGAUUUUUGACUCAUCUUUUCGAUUGUCGUUUAUUUCCCUUUUAUCAAGUGUU